Molecule: long non-coding RNA, 830 nt
Organism: Pipistrellus kuhlii (Kuhl's pipistrelle)
Lineage: Eukaryota; Metazoa; Chordata; Mammalia; Chiroptera; Vespertilionidae
Exons: 4
Source: RefSeq, a predicted model, not a curated record
AAAAGGUUCCCUCAACCGUAACUUCAGUUGUCAAAAAUAAAAUGUGACUUAAACGUUGAAGGAGAAUGCGAAGGCCGGGCCUGUGCUGACAUGUUGUAACGUUAAGUCAUAAAGGGAAACCUGAAACUGUAAGGGAGUACACCCAGCCACUCGGGGUCGGGGUCCGACCUCAGCAAACACAGGUAGCAGGGAGGGAGAUCACACAGCGGAGGGAAUUAGAAGCAGAUUGAGCUGACAGACAGGUAAUGAAAGAAGAGCAAGCUCUAAGUGCAUAAGAUGCCAUUCCAUGGAUCAUGUUUGUCUUACUGUGCAUCACUGUCACCACAAGUCCUGUGUGGAAUGAUGAAGAAGGAAUAAACCAAGCACCUGUGUCUAAUCUGAGUGGAGUCUUAAAGUUGGAAAGAAAUGAAAAGAUGGCCAGGACCUAGCACCUACAUUUCUGGCUGUUUGACACUUAUUAACUGGAAGGAAGACAUUCAUCAUUGGGCAGGAGGCAAUCCAGUGCUGAGCUUAGAACCCAGAUUCUUAAGUUAGCCUGCUUGACUUCAAAUCCUAGUUUGUGUCUCAUACAAACUGAGUGCUCUUGGGUAAAUUACUUAAUCUGGCUGUGCCUUAGUUUCCUCAUUUGUUGAGUGGGGAUAGUAACAGGACCUAUCACAUAGUGAUGAUAUGAUUAUUAAAUGACAACACAAAUAAAGCAUUUAGAAUGGUGCCUGGCAUAUGGGAAGCAAUCAAUGUGUAUUAACUAUAGUUAUUAUUAGUGCUUUAUGAAGACAUGAGAACAACUCCUGGCAAUAGUCACUGUAUUACUCUCAACCAGUAUUACAUAA